RNAcentral lists this non-coding RNA (24 nucleotides) under Arabidopsis thaliana (thale cress). Lineage: Eukaryota; Viridiplantae; Streptophyta; Magnoliopsida; Brassicales; Brassicaceae. The record is from RNAcentral.
CAACGUGUCUGUCACUUCAAGUGU